ACCUCAAAAUUAACUUAACCAAAGAAGUGAAGGAUCCAUACAAGAAAAGCUAUAAGACACUGGUGAAAGAAACUGAAGAGGACACCAAAAAAUGGAAAGAUAUUGCACGCUCAUGGAUUGG
Molecule: long non-coding RNA, 121 nt
Organism: Sapajus apella (tufted capuchin)
Lineage: Eukaryota; Metazoa; Chordata; Mammalia; Primates; Cebidae
Exons: 4
Source: RefSeq, a predicted model, not a curated record